RNAcentral lists this long non-coding RNA (228 nucleotides) under Gallus gallus (chicken). The record is from RNAcentral. Lineage: Eukaryota; Metazoa; Chordata; Aves; Galliformes; Phasianidae.
UGGGAAAGUUGACUUACAGAGGGAAAAGAUGCCCAGGCUUCUGGCAGAACUGCCAUGUGGCCUCACAGGAGGACUGUUACUCCUCUCUCACACAGAAUCAUACACACAGACUGUCUGAAGUUGGAAAAGACCUCUGGUGUCACCUGGUCCAAUCCCUGCUCCGGCAGAGCCACCUACAGCAUGUAGCACAGGAUUGUGUCCAGGUGGUGAGAGCAGCCUGUGGAGGAG